This 420-nucleotide ribosomal RNA is filed under the name Fusobacteriota bacterium. RNAcentral describes it as "Fusobacteria bacterium partial 16S ribosomal RNA". It matches the Rfam family "Bacterial small subunit ribosomal RNA", at positions 355 to 776 of the family's 1533-position model. The record is from RNAcentral. Lineage: Bacteria; Fusobacteriati; Fusobacteriota.
UGGGGGAUAUUGCACAAUGGGCGAAAGCCUGAUGCAGCGACGCCGCGUGGGGGAUGAAGGCCUUCGGGUUGUAAACUUCUUUUGCUCUGAACAAGGCAUGCCUUUGGGGUGUGUUGAGUGUAGGGGUUGAUUAGCGCCGGCUAACUACGUGCCAGCAGCCGCGGUAAUACGUAGGGCGCGAGCGUUGUCCGGAAUUAUUGGGCGUAAAGGGCUUGUAGGUGGCUGGUUGCGUCUGUCGUGAAAGCUCAUGGCUUAACUGUGGGUUUGCGGUGGGUACGGGCUGGCUUGAGUGCAGUAGGGGGGGCUGGAAUUCCUGGGGUAGCGGUGGAAUGCGCAGAUAUCAGGAGGAAUACCGGUGGCGAAGGGGGGUCUCUGGGCUGUUACUGACGCUGAGGAGCGAAAGCGUGGGGAGCGAACAGG